CAGCACCUAGUGCUGGCUGUCCCGCUGUCUACACAACAGUGGUUAGCAAGGGCCGGGCAAGACCGGUGCCAGCCGCCGCGGUAACACCGGCGGCCCGAGUGGUAGCCGCUAUUAUUGGGUUUAAAGGGCCCGUAGCCGGCCUAUUAAGUCUCUUGGGAAAUCUGGCGGCUUAAUCGUCAGGCGUCCAAGAGAUACUGGUAGGCUUGGGACCGGGAGAGGUGGGAGGUACUCCAGGGGUAGGGGUGAAAUCUCGUAAUCCUUGGGGGACCACCGAUGGCGAAGGCAUCCCACCAGAACGGGUCCGACGGUGAGGGACGAAAGCUGGGGGCACGAACCGGAUUAGAUACCCGGGUAGUCCCAGCUGUAAACGAUGCUCGCUAGGUGUCAGGUGCGGUGCGACCGCAUCUGGUGCCGCAGUGAAAACUUGAAGCGAGUCACCUGGGAAGUACGGUCGCAAGGCUGAAACUUAAAGGAAUUGGCGGGGGAGCACUACAACGGGUGGAGCCUGCGGUUCAAUUGGAUUCAACGCCGGAAAGCUUACCGGACUCGACAGCACUAUGAAGGUCAGGCUAAAGACCUUACCGAAUUCGCUGAGAGGUAGUGCAUGGCC
Molecule: ribosomal RNA, 610 nt
Filed under: uncultured archaeon
Lineage: Archaea
Description: bacterial SSU rRNA
Rfam family: Archaeal small subunit ribosomal RNA
Source: RNAcentral